This 253-nucleotide ribosomal RNA is filed under the name uncultured bacterium. RNAcentral describes it as "partial 16S ribosomal RNA". It matches the Rfam family "Bacterial small subunit ribosomal RNA", at positions 524 to 776 of the family's 1533-position model. The record is from RNAcentral.
UACGGAGGGUGCGAGCGUUGACCGGAAUCACUGGGCGUAAAGGGCGCGUAGGCGGCGCGGGAAGUCCGUGGUGAAAGCCCGAGGCUCAACUUCGGGUCGGCCAUGGAUACUCCUGGGCUUGAGCACUGUAGAGGCAGGUGGAAUUCCGGGUGUAGCGGUGGAAUGCGUAGAGAUCCGGAAGAACACCGGUGGCGAAGGCGGCCUGCUGGGCAGUAGCUGACGCUGAGGCGCGACAGCGUGGGGAGCAAACAGG